Non-coding RNA from Gasterosteus aculeatus aculeatus (three-spined stickleback), 1188 nucleotides. The record is from RefSeq and is a predicted model, not a curated record. Lineage: Eukaryota; Metazoa; Chordata; Actinopteri; Perciformes; Gasterosteidae.
AUGCAUCAGCAUACACCUCCGCGUGUGCACACGGGCUGUUCUAACUGGAGCAACUAGGUCACCCAAAUAUUCCAAGGGAAGAUGUUUCCUUCAGGGCAGCAUUCAGCGGGGUGAAACAUUCACUGUGUUGGUUUUCAAAACACCAGCCAGGCACCGUGGACCGCUGAACACGCUGAGGGGCUUGUGCCUUUUUCUCUUCUUCUUCUUCUGCUCCUAAAUGGCUGCAACACAGACUCCCAAGGCACAGAGAAGGAACAGUAAGGGUCACCUUGGAAGGACACUGUAAGGAACGGAGGAGAUUUGAUUUGAGUCCUCGGAGGAUAGGAGUCCUUAAAGCUGCCUCCCUCGCUGAAGACACAAAGGAAAUCUUUUGUUCAACACGAAACCUAUUUAAAAGGGAAUUUUUUAAAAAGCAGGCUGGAGGUAUUCAUUGUCCACACAUGGGAACCCCAGGCCCGCUGGAGGAGAAACGGCACCGCCAGGAGACAAUGGCGAGUACGGUUUGGCGUGCAGCACUUUGACGGGGUUCCAAGACAGAGGACCAAUUUAUCUUCCAAGAAAAGGGGACGCUGAUAGAAGAUUAUGUCAGCAAGACUUAUUCUAGGUCUGUCCUCUUGGGAGAAUGCAACCUUCGGGUUUAAAUGAGAAGGAUUAAAGCUUUCUAUCGGAGUUUUAAAUUAUUUGCCAUUUACUACUUUUUGCUUAUUUUUCAGACUAUUAAUGAAUUAUUCAAGUUAUUAUGUAAAAGAAGCCCAAAUUGGUUUUAUUUGCGUAACAUGUUUCUUUUUCCCUUUUCUUGUUCAGUUAGAUCAAGUAAAAACGAUCAGCGUUAGCAAUGUAGCUCCUGUGUUGCUAGCUGAAUGGCUUGUAAUAACGUUAAUGCUGCACUAUUAAAGCUCUUUUUGCAUUCAAAUGAACAAUUCUUUACCCAACGUGGGAAAUACAGUUUGCGUCAGAAACGACCCAUUUCCUGAACAUAAAGUGGAGGUGCUGGAAUGUACAGUGCGUAUGCUAUGACAUGAACAACAACGGGGUGAGAUGGCUCAUAGUGCCCAGUUCAGCUCUCGCAAUGUCUCUGACUGAAAGUUUCCCUCGCUAGAAAGAUUUCACAAGUUGGAGUGUUUCUUUUGCCCUUCUCUAUUAUCCUCAGCACGCAGUUGAAAGACAUUUUAGUUCAGUGGUUCCGUU